This 252-nucleotide ribosomal RNA is filed under the name uncultured Bacteroidales bacterium. RNAcentral's name for it is "partial 16S ribosomal RNA". It matches the Rfam family "Bacterial small subunit ribosomal RNA", at positions 524 to 776 of the family's 1533-position model. Lineage: Bacteria; Pseudomonadati; Bacteroidota; Bacteroidia; Bacteroidales. The record is from RNAcentral.
UACGGAGGAUGCGAGCGUUAUCCGGAUUUAUUGGGUUUAAAGGGUGCGUAGGCGGACGCUUAAGUCAGCGGUAAAAUCGCGGGGCUCAACCCCGCUCCGCCGUUGAAACUGUGUCCCUUGAGUGCGCGAAGGGUAGGCGGAAUGCGUGGUGUAGCGGUGAAAUGCAUAGAUAUCACGCAGAACGCCGAUUGCGAAGGCAGCUUACCGGCGCUCAACUGACGCUGAGGCACGAAAGUGCGGGUAUCGAACAGG